UGGGUAACCUGCCUCAAAGAGGGGAAUAGCCUCCCGAAAGGGAGAUUAAUACCGCAUAAUAUGUUUAAGUCGCAUGACUUUAACAUCAAAGGAUUUUUCUUUUAAGAAAUUCCACUUUGAGAUGGACCCGCGGCGCAUUAGCUAGUUGGUGAGGUAACGGCUCACCAAGGCAACGAUGCGUAGCCGACCUGAGAGGGUGAUCGGCCACAUUGGAACUGAGACACGGUCCAGACUCCUAGGGAG
This 243-nucleotide ribosomal RNA is filed under the name uncultured bacterium. RNAcentral's name for it is "partial 16S ribosomal RNA". It matches the Rfam family "Bacterial small subunit ribosomal RNA", at positions 118 to 347 of the family's 1533-position model. The record is from RNAcentral.